CUCCUUUUAUUAAAAUGAGACUGGUGAGGAUGGAAAUAUUUCCUUUUGCCCUUAGAUUAAUAUGUUUGUUGACUUGGCAAAGUAUUAAGUAAGGCAGGGGGAGGCACCGCUGCCGUUUGGAAGGUCGAGGUCUUCUCAUUUGGUUGGAUCUGGCUUCCACUCCCUACUUGCUGAUAAGAAGUGGCUGUGGGGGGUGUUCCCUUGAUAUGUCCUUGCCUCGACAGAGGCGUGGUUGUAAGCAUGUGCCAUCACCUCAGAGUAAGUCUUCCAUGUGUUGGCAUUGAUCAUGUACUUGAAAAAACAAUCACGUAGGCCUGCCGUCAAGGCCUUGAUGGCGGUCUGUCAUCUACCUCAGCGCAGCGAGAAUACUCAUGGCUGAAACGACCGGCAUACUCUCGUAAUGACUCGUCCGGCUUCUGGCGAAUAGUGUAUAAGUCAUCUGCAGAAUGCAAGCGAUCGAUCUGGAAAAUGUGUUGAGAGACAAACAGUUUCCUUCAGUUCCUUAAAUGAGUUUACUGUCUCAGGUGGAAGACAGUAAUACCAGUUUAGAGCUCCGCCAGAGAGGGUGGAGGGGAAGAGAAGACAUCGUUCUUCGUCGGUAUGCAUCUGAUAUGCCAUGGUGGAGUAAAAAAGGUUAAGGUGUUCAAUUGGGUCCUCCCUUCCAGUAUAGAGUUGUAAACCAAGCUUUUGUUUUGUCUUCGCUUGAAGGGGGUGUCGAGGAUCUUCCUUGUGAGAGGGCCAGAACUGGGUUGGUUCCAGUCAGGUAUCUCGGCCUAACGUUCAGCCUUCAACUUGUUUACUUCCUCAAGGAGCUGUAGGAUAAGGGGGUCCUGCGUGGAGUCAUGUACCACUGAGAUUUUCUUUCGUAAGUCUCCAUCACCUCUUGGAAGUAGGAAAGUUUGAACAAAGGCAUGUGAUUUUUCCUUGGACUCGCCGUACUGACUUCUAGGACGAGUCUGUCGGAAUACCUCAAAGUCCGCUGUACCUUCAUGU
RNAcentral lists this long non-coding RNA (993 nucleotides) under Malus domestica (apple). RNAcentral's name for it is "long non-coding RNA (MDOM_LNC017048)". Lineage: Eukaryota; Viridiplantae; Streptophyta; Magnoliopsida; Rosales; Rosaceae. The record is from RNAcentral.